Molecule: small RNA, 133 nt
Filed under: Lysobacter sp. N42
Lineage: Bacteria; Pseudomonadati; Pseudomonadota; Gammaproteobacteria; Lysobacterales; Lysobacteraceae
Description: RtT sRNA
Rfam family: RtT RNA
About the family: This family represents a bacterial cis-regulatory element known as RtT RNA. The exact function of RtT is unknown although it is thought that it may be involved in changing the cellular response in relation to amino acid starvation.
Source: RNAcentral
CCGGGCACGGAUCGGAGGUGGAUGAGAUCCACCGCUGGUUCGGCGAUGAGGCGAAGCCUCAUCGUGCGCGCCGACAGGCGCGGCCCGCAGGGCCAAGGCGCGUAGCGCCGCAGCCAUCCACCUCCCUCCACCA